Long non-coding RNA from Gallus gallus (chicken), 577 nucleotides. The record is from Ensembl. NCBI's taxonomy places the organism in Eukaryota, Metazoa, Chordata, Aves, Galliformes, Phasianidae.
GCCAAAUAAUGACUUGUUCAUUGUUCCUACAUGCGGCUGAUGGGACUUCCAAAGCAUCAUGGACUUAAUUAUGCAGUUUUUGUCGACCAAAGAGCAAAAACUAUUAUACGUGUUCUUGAAAGUUAACCAGUGCAGGGAGCUGUGUGCCAGGCCCUAUGCAUCAGUCAAGGCACGUGUAUGGGAACUGUUGGGUCACGGCCUGAGCCACUGGUUGAGCACCUGAGGAAAGGACCUGGUCAACCCUGGGAGCACAGGUGAAGGCAGUUCAGCUGUGUGACCAGAAGGGGUGGAGCCUGGCUGCACCUCUCUUAGACCUCCUUGAAGGGCUGACUGCCACUGGGGAAGGAUCUCUUUUUGGAGAUCCCUCCUUGGUGAAGCUUUCCCUGCAAACCUGGAAUCUUCUGAUAUGGUCGGAAUUAAUGCCCACAAAACAUAAAUGAGAAAAAAAGUGUGUACAUCUCAGCCACCUUCAUGCAACAUCUAAUGCCAGGAGAGUGGGUUGAAACUGAAUGGAGACGUGAUCUACUGCAGCAGGUCAGGCACACGUACGUGUUCUGCUCUGCACCCCAAAUCUUUG